This 468-nucleotide ribosomal RNA is filed under the name uncultured bacterium. Its description in RNAcentral is "partial 16S ribosomal RNA". It matches the Rfam family "Bacterial small subunit ribosomal RNA", at positions 28 to 507 of the family's 1533-position model. The record is from RNAcentral.
GACGAACGCUGGCGGCGUGCUUAACACAUGCAAGUCGAACGGAAAGGCCCUGCUUUUGUGGGGUGCUCGAGUGGCGAACGGGUGAGUAACACGUGAGUAACCUGCCCUUGACUUUGGGAUAACUUCAGGAAACUGGGGCUAAUACCGGAUAGGAGCUCCUGCUGCAUGGUGGGGGUUGGAAAGUUUCGGCGGUUGGGGAUGGACUCGCGGCUUAUCAGCUUGUUGGUGGGGUAGUUGCUUACCAAGGCUUUGACGGGUAGCCGGCCUGAGAGGGUUACCGGCCACAAUGGGACUGAGAUACGGCCCAGACGCCUACGGGAGGCAGCAGGGGGGAAUAUUGCACAAUGGGCGGAAGCCUGAUGCAGAAACGCCGCGUGCGGGAUGACGGCCUUCGGGUUGUAAACCGCUUUCGCCUGUGACGAAGAGUGAGUGACGGUAAUGGGUAAAGAAGCACCGGCUAACUACGUG